Oenanthe melanoleuca is the source of this 727-nucleotide long non-coding RNA. RefSeq lists it as uncharacterized. The record is from RefSeq and is a predicted model, not a curated record. The transcript has 3 exons. Lineage: Eukaryota; Metazoa; Chordata; Aves; Passeriformes; Muscicapidae.
AGCGCGGCUGGGAGGCGGGAGGGAGGAAGCGGAGGGAGGAAGAGGAGGGAAGGAGGGAGGAAGAGGAUGAGGGAGGGAGGCGGCGGGGCCGGGCCGCGGCUGGAGCCGGAUCCGGGGAAGAGCAGCGGGAGCAGAAAUCCCAGCGCCUUCACGGGCCCUGGGCUGUCCCUUAACAGCGCUUCACUCUUGGCUUGGGGUUUUUUGGAAGGGGGUAAACAAGGUGGGUAACACCAAGUGGCAAUGGCAAGAUUAAAAAUUAGAGGAGAUACUCUGAUUUAUGGAGAUACACAACAUUUAUCCUCCAAGCAGUGCAGAAGGUGUGAGAGUGGAAGAGAAAGUCCUGUGUCCAGGCCAUGGACUCCUUUUUGGAGGCAGUGAUGUUUCCCAAAUGCUGAUGUGUUCUUCUGCUGGAAUCCAGUGUGGAACAAGCCAGGCUCCUUCUUUGCUUCCUACAACAUGGUGAAGAAUUACAGUGUGUUAAAGAACAGUAACUGUUGAGUAUCCUCAUAAUGCUGGUAAAAUUCCAGGUUUUAAAUUAGUUACUAGGAAUAUGUAGCCUCUAUUCAAGUACUAAUUUAAAUUGACUUGGGCUGUCUGGAGGUGUUAAUUGCAUGUACACAUCCCCUCCACUCUUGAUUUGUCCUCACCCUCAAUCUGAGAUACCAGACACCCUUGAGGACAAUACAUGGGCACAAAAAACUGCAAAAUAAACAGUGUAACACUCCAA